RNAcentral lists this ribosomal RNA (759 nucleotides) under Ctenodactylus gundi (northern gundi). Its description in RNAcentral is "partial 12S ribosomal RNA". It matches the Rfam family "Bacterial small subunit ribosomal RNA", at positions 300 to 1364 of the family's 1533-position model. Lineage: Eukaryota; Metazoa; Chordata; Mammalia; Rodentia; Ctenodactylidae. The record is from RNAcentral.
GCAAGCAUCCACAAGCCCGUGAAAAUGCCCUCAACAUCCUCAAGAGAUAUAAAGGAGCCGGUAUCAAGUACACAAUUGUAGCUCAAAACACCUUGCUAAGCCACACCCCCACGGGAAACAGCAGUGAUAAAACUUAAGCAAUAAACGAAAGUUUGACUAAGUCAUGCAUAAUAGAGCUGGUCAACUUCGUGCCAGCCACCGCGGUCAUACGAUGAGCUCUAAUUAAUAAACUACGGCGUAAAGAGUGUUUAAGAAAUACCAAAUAAUUAAGAGAAAACUUAGUUUAAGUCGUAAAAAACCUUAACUAAAGUAAGCCAGCCAACGAAAGUACUCUUAUAUAGUCUGAAUACACGAUAGCUAAGGCCCAAACUGGGAUUAGAUACCCCACUAUGCUUAGCCGUAAACAAUAACAUUUAUACAACAAAAAUCUUCGCCAGAGAACUACUAGCCACAGCUAAAAACUCAAAGGACUUGGCGGCACUUCACAUCCCUCUAGAGGAGCUUGUUCUAUAAUCGAUAAACCCCGAUAAACCUAACCACCUUUUGCUAAAUCAGCCUAUAUACCGCCAUCUUCAGCAAACCUUCCAAAGAACAGAAGUAAGCAAGAGAAUCUACCGUUAAAAAGUUAGGUCAAGGUGUAGCCAAUAAAGUGGUAAGAAAUGAGCUACAUUUCUAAAAUUUAGAAAAUACGAAGUCCAUUAUGAAAACUAAAGGAUGAAGGAGGAUUUAGUAGUAAAUUAAGAAUAGAGAGCUUAAUUG